RNAcentral lists this long non-coding RNA (854 nucleotides) under Volvox carteri. RNAcentral describes it as "long non-coding RNA (VCAR_LNC003133)". Lineage: Eukaryota; Viridiplantae; Chlorophyta; Chlorophyceae; Chlamydomonadales; Volvocaceae. The record is from RNAcentral.
UUUUUCUCCUGCCUCCAGCCGUAAAUUCACAGGUGACUUGGUGUCCUCACCGGGCCACCUAGGGUCGGAGGGAUUUGAGGAGCCAGACGUUGCAACGACGCACAAGGAGCGAUCCCGCGGAUUUCUUGAUUGCCAUUCACAUUGGAAUAGUAAGCCAACACGCAGCGCUGACAUACUUCAUUUAAAUAGCGCGAAACGGUCUCCAAAUCAUGCGUGCAACUAGGGAGGCGCUCGCACGGUUCGCUCGUUCGACGUGAUGGAACCCGUAGGGCGUUCACCACUGAGGCGAUGAGCAACUGCUUGCAUCUGCUGUCUACUUACUAACGUGUUAAUGGAGAUGUUGUGGAAAAACCCAUGCUAUUGGGAACGAGAUGAGUGCAGGCCAUCGGGACGUUGACAGGAAGUUAACGCCGUUUCUGAAUGCGCUGUGCUACCAGGCAGCUGCGCACUAACAAAGACUUUCCAUUCAAUUUCAUAUUCUUAGCACUGAAUUUAUUCAAGUAUUUCCCUUCGUGCCCAGCUGCACUUCGCUUUGGAAACAGAAGACCAUGGAAGAUUGAUUAAAGACAAACCUGCACCGCUCUCCCUUAACUAGUGUUUUGAUAUCAAGGGCACUAUGUUGUGCUUAGGAUUAUAAACCACGACGACUGCUCGUUCAUCGGCAAAUUGACCAGAUGGAUGCAAGUGUUCUCGCCUUGCCAGAAAGAAGCGCAUAGCAAGCGCCGUAGUUGGGAGCGUUAAAAAAUGUUACUUAGACUGUUAAUUAGAUUCAGAGGAAAAAGUGCCAUCAUAAAGGUUUGGCGAAAGAGAGGCUUCGGUUUGUUGGGCCUCCCUGGAGCCAAUGUUUGGACGGC